RNAcentral lists this ribosomal RNA (468 nucleotides) under uncultured bacterium. Its description in RNAcentral is "partial 16S ribosomal RNA". It matches the Rfam family "Bacterial small subunit ribosomal RNA", at positions 28 to 507 of the family's 1533-position model. The record is from RNAcentral.
GACGAACGCUGGCGGCGUGCUUAACACAUGCAAGUCGAACGGAAAGGCCCUGCUUUUGUGGGGUGCUCGAGUGGCGAACGGGUGAGUAACACGUGAGUAACCUGCCCUUGACUUUGGGAUAACUUCAGGAAACUGGGGCUAAUACCGGAUAGGAGCUCCUGCUGCAUGGUGGGGGUUGGAAAGUUUCGGCGGUUGGGGAUGGACUCGCGGCUUAUCAGCUUGUUGGUGGGGUAGUGGCUUACCAAGGCUUUGACGGGUCGCCGGCCUGAGAGGGUGACCGGCCAAAUUGGGACUGAGAUACGGCCCACACUCCUACGAGAGGUCGCAGUGGGGCAUAGUGCACUAUGGGCGGAAGCCUAAUGCAGCAACUCCGCGUGCGGGAUGACGGCGUUCGGGUUGUACACCGCUUUCGCCUGUGACGAAGCGUGAGUAACGGUAAUGGGUAAAGAAGCACCGGCUAACUACGUG